UAAGCUCUGCUCAGAAGUCAAGAGCAGCAGUGCUGCCGCCUCCGUGCGGCCUUUCAAGACGCGGUCGCUCCUUAUUCUUGUGCCUCGGCCUCUCUGGUCGCCCCCGGACAAAGCCCCCAGAGCCCGGCCGCUCCCUUCCCUCUAAAUCCCCUUCGGGUCAAUGCGCUACCAGCACCAGGCCGCGCGCUUCUCCUGCCAGCCGUGUGGCUCUUAAAG
Molecule: non-coding RNA, 216 nt
Organism: Pteropus alecto (black flying fox)
Lineage: Eukaryota; Metazoa; Chordata; Mammalia; Chiroptera; Pteropodidae
Source: Rfam